This is a long non-coding RNA of Uranotaenia lowii, 836 nucleotides long. RefSeq lists it as uncharacterized. The record is from RefSeq and is a predicted model, not a curated record. The transcript has 3 exons. Lineage: Eukaryota; Metazoa; Arthropoda; Insecta; Diptera; Culicidae.
UUGUGAUUGUAUUCAGCUCAAGCUGUAGUAAAUGCUCUUUUCAGCAUAAAAAGUAACGAUUAUUUCUCUGUCUAAAUUUAUUCGUAAAAUAUGCAUCACCUACCAUUAAAUUUCUUUGAUUUUUGCUACUGUGUUCAUCCACAAGCUACAAAAUGAAUCAUCUGAGCUGUCAAAAGAUAUUUUCGAAAAGAAAAUAAUGGGCCCGGAAAAAGCUAUAUUGUAGAAGAUGCAAUGGGUUGGUGUUUAUCCCGGUCUUAAGAAAGAAAGAUUCCAGAUUUGCUGCUGUUCUCUAGACAUUUCUCCUCAACUAUUUAAUUGUUGGAAUUGGAAUAGAACGAGAAAUCCGUGGAUGCUGAACCAACCAUGGCCAAAAAGGCAGUGAAAAUGUACUUGUGAACACCAAAAGAAAAUCGAACGGGAAGUUACCCAAACCCAAGAAAAGAAUAAAAACACAGAAAAAUGAGAAAAACGGAAUUUUUAAUCCUUCUAUUUUGAAACAUCAACAAAAUUUGUGUAUAAUUUACGUAGCUCAGCCUCUUGGCAAGGCUCUAAUUUGAUAACUAUCAUGCUGGGUUUCGCGCAUUUGAUUGUUUCGGGUAGCGAAAAGCUUUUCUCCAUAACAGCCGGCGGGGGUGGAAGUCCAGCUAUGAGAGUUCAAGUGGUUCAAGUUUUUUUUGUACUAUUUAAAAAUUUACCCAAGAAUAUGAAGCAGAUAUUCAAAGAAAUUCAAAAGAUGUUGGUUAUGUUUUCAAAUUUGGUCCUUUUUCACACUAAUUUUGUGGCAAUAAAAACCUCCUCUCGAUUUUCUUAGAAUUCAGCAACUUUCCUUCUUGAUU